GGUGAGUAACACGUGAGCAACCUGCCCUGGACUCUGGGAUAAGCGCUGGAAACGGCGUCUAAUACUGGAUAUGAGCCCCUAUCGCAUGGUGGGGGUUGGAAAGAUUUUUUGGUCUGGGAUGGGCUCGCGGCCUAUCAGCUUGUUGGUGAGGUAAUGGCUCACCAAGGCGUCGACGGGUAGCCGGCCUGAGAGGGUGACCGGCCACACUGGGACUGAGACACGGCCCAGACUCCUACGGGAGGCAGCAGUGGGGAAUAUUGCACAAUGGGCGAAAGCCUGAUGCAGCAACGCCGCGUGAGGGAUGACGGCCUUCGGGUUGUAAACCUCUUUUAGCAGGGAAGAAGCGAAAGUGACGGUACCUGCAGAAAAAGCGCCGGCUAACUACGUGCCAGCAGCCGCGGUAAUACGUAGGGCGCAAGCGUUAUCCGGAAUUAUUGGGCGUAAAGAGCUCGUAGGCGGUUUGUCGCGUCUGCUGUGAAAUCCCGAGGCUCAACCUCGGGCCUGCAGUGGGUACGGGCAGACUAGAGUGCGGUAGGGGAGAUUGGAAUUCCUGGUGUAGCGGUGGAAUGCGCAGAUAUCAGGAGGAACACCGAUGGCGAAGGCAGAUCUCUGGGCCGUAACUGACGCUGAGGAGCGAAAGGGUGGGGAGCAAACAGGCUUAGAUACCCUGGUAGUCCACCCCGUAAACGUUGGGAACUAGUUGUGGGGACCAUUCCACGGUUUCCGUGACGCAGCUAACGCAUUAAGUUCCCCGCCUGGGGGAGUACGGCCGCAAGGCUAAAACUCAAAGGAAUUGACGGGGACCCGCACAAGCGGCGGAGCAUGCGGAUUAAUUCGAUGCAACGCGAAGAACCUUACCAAGGCUUGACAUAUACGAGAACGGGCCAGAAAUGGUCAACUCUUUGGACACUCGUAAACAGGUGGUGCAUGGUUGUCGUCAGCUCGUGUCGUGAGAUGUUGGGUUAAGUCCCGCAACGAGCGCAACCCUCGUUCUAUGUUGCCAGCACGUAAUGGUGGGAACUCAUGGGAUACUGCCGGGGUCAACUCGGAGGAAGGUGGGGAUGACGUCAAAUCAUCAUGCCCCUUAUGUCUUGGGCUUCACGCAUGCUACAAUGGCCGGUACAAAGGGCUGCAAUACCGUGAGGUGGAGCGAAUCCCAAAAAGCCGGUCCCAGUUCGGAUUGAGGUCUGCAACUCGACCUCAUGAAGUCGGAGUCGCUAGUAAUCGCAGAUCAGCAACGCUGCGGUGAAUACGUUCCCGGGUCUUGUACACACCGCCCGUCAAGUCAUGAAAGUCGGUAACACCUGAAGCCGGUGGCCCAACCCUUGUGGAGGGAGCCGUCGAAGGUGGGAUCGGUAAUUA
RNAcentral lists this ribosomal RNA (1362 nucleotides) under Microbacterium sp. M32. RNAcentral's name for it is "bacterial SSU rRNA". It matches the Rfam family "Bacterial small subunit ribosomal RNA", at positions 105 to 1477 of the family's 1533-position model. Lineage: Bacteria; Bacillati; Actinomycetota; Actinomycetes; Micrococcales; Microbacteriaceae. The record is from RNAcentral.